AUUAGAUUCUUAUAGUCUAAUUUUGUUCUUCUUAUGUACUUAGUCCAAGCUUGUGCAACUGUACCUAAAUAUACAAUUGGUACUAAGAGAGGUCGGGGUGUGUGCAAAAACAAAUAUUUUUGAAGUACUAGUAGUUUAUUUUUGUCAAAAAAUAAAAGUUACAAUAGAAUUUAAAGGACAAUCCCUGAAAUAAAACAAGGUUUUCUUUGUUUUGUUUUUUCUCUAAUCUGAACAGAUGAGUCUAAACAGACUCUGUCGUCAGCAGCAGAACAUUCACCUCCUCCUCACUUUUUCAGAGGUGACAAAACUGCGUGGAAAUGAGAAGCUAACGAGCGCCUGAUCCUCUUUUUCACACAUCUGCAUCUGUGAAGCUUCACGUGUUCUAGUUUUCAUUUCCACUUGAAUCCUGUGUUCCUCGUUCUUAUUAUUUCAUUUUCCUUUGUUGUGCUUGAUUUUAAAAAUAUACUGCAGACUCUGGGGAAGCCACGAGAUUUUUCUUAUUUAUUUAUUUAUUUUGUCUUGCUGCGUAUCUUGUUAUAUCCUGUGCACGACCACAAACACAAUGAACUCUUUUUUGUUUUGUUGUACUGCUGUAUUUCAAAAGGCACAGUGUUCACAUAAUGUUCUUGAGGUAAAAUUAGAAGCAGACUGAUUAGGACUGCUAUUGCUUAUCCCACCUUAAAAAGAGGAAAAAAACAUGAACUGAAAGAGAACAAAAGGAGAAGUUCAAGUUUUGUCUUUUCAGCAGCUGGAACUCUGUGUCUGCACAAAAUGCUGCAUCACAGAUUUUGGUUGUCUGGUCACAGGUUUUAUAAAAGUAUAAAAAUGCAACUAUGUUGUAGUGAAAUAUAUAUAUAUGUAUAUAUUUACAGCAUUAUCCACAGAAAAACUGUGCAAUACUUUUUACCCACUGCAUUAAUUAUCUCUUUAUCCUAUUCACGAUUAAAUCUUGUCCAAAAAAAAAAAAAAAAA
Long non-coding RNA from Cynoglossus semilaevis (tongue sole), 972 nucleotides. RefSeq lists it as uncharacterized. NCBI's taxonomy places the organism in Eukaryota, Metazoa, Chordata, Actinopteri, Pleuronectiformes, Cynoglossidae. The record is from RefSeq and is a predicted model, not a curated record. The transcript has 2 exons.